AAAGAAUUAUUUUAAUUAAAAAAUUGAUCUGUCAGAUCAAAAAUGCUAAAUUAGCAUUCUUUU
Molecule: transfer RNA, 63 nt
Filed under: Oncotympana maculaticollis
Lineage: Eukaryota; Metazoa; Arthropoda; Insecta; Hemiptera; Cicadidae
Description: tRNA-Asp
Source: RNAcentral